Molecule: ribosomal RNA, 257 nt
Filed under: uncultured bacterium
Lineage: Bacteria
Description: partial 16S ribosomal RNA
Rfam family: Bacterial small subunit ribosomal RNA
Source: RNAcentral
CGGGUGAGUAACACGUGAGUGACCUGCCUUUUAGACUGGAACAACUUACCGAAAGGUGAGCUAAUGCCGGAUGAGUUAUAUAAGUGCAUGUUUAUAUAGGAAAAGUUGGGAGACCUGACGCUGAAAGAUGGACUCGCGUCCCAUUAGCUAGUUGGUAGGGUAAUGGCCUACCAAGGCGACGAUGGGUAGCCGGCCUGAGAGGGUGGCCGGCCACACUGGGGCUGAGACACGGCCCAGACUCCUACGGAAGGCAGCAG